GAAUGUGAGAGCGAUCUGGCUGCAACAUCUGUCACCCUAUUGAUCUCCAGGGUUGAUUGGGCUGAUCUGGCUGGCUAGGUGGGUGUCUCCUUCCUCCCUCACCGCUCCAUGUGCGUCCCUCCCAAAGCUGUGUGCUAGGUUGAAGAGGAUGGCCUUUCCUGAAUAGAGACAGAGAUGGACUGGCUUUAGAUAGAGGGUAUAGGUACCUGCACUCCCCUGCUAGAACCUUCAAACAAGUUCUUCAAGGAUACAAAGCUAGAAAAAACAGAUGUGCACUUCAUGAUCAUAUCUAUAUUGAAUGAAAAUUUGGCUUUCAUAUAU
This is an unclassified non-coding RNA of Erinaceus europaeus (western European hedgehog), 321 nucleotides long. Its record names the gene 7SK. It matches the Rfam family "7SK RNA". From Rfam's summary of the family: 7SK was discovered as an abundant small nuclear RNA in the mid-70s but a possible function has only recently been suggested. The record is from Ensembl. Lineage: Eukaryota; Metazoa; Chordata; Mammalia; Eulipotyphla; Erinaceidae.